This 253-nucleotide ribosomal RNA is filed under the name uncultured bacterium. RNAcentral's name for it is "partial 16S ribosomal RNA". It matches the Rfam family "Bacterial small subunit ribosomal RNA", at positions 524 to 776 of the family's 1533-position model. The record is from RNAcentral.
UACGAGGGGGGCGAGCGUUGUUCGGAAUUAUUGGGCGUAAAGGGUGCGUAGGCGGUUUUGUAAGUCUUAUGUGAAAUCUAUGGGCUCAACCCAUAGACUGCAUGAGAAACUGCAGGGCUUGAGUAUGGGAGAGGUGAGUGGAGUUCCUGGUGUAGCAGUGAAAUGCGUAGAUAUCGGGAAGAACACCCGUGGCGAAGGCGGCUCUCUGGGACGGUACUGACGCUGAGACGCGAAAGCGUGGGGAGCGAACAGG